This 200-nucleotide ribosomal RNA is filed under the name uncultured prokaryote. RNAcentral describes it as "partial 16S ribosomal RNA". It matches the Rfam family "Bacterial small subunit ribosomal RNA", at positions 1182 to 1382 of the family's 1533-position model. The record is from RNAcentral.
ACGUCAAAUCAUCAUGCCCCUUACGACCUGGGCCACACACGUAAUACAAUGGCCAUUAACAGCGUGAAGCAAAACCGCGAGGUGGAGCGAAACACAAAAAUGGUCCCAGUUCGGAUCGCAGGCUGCAACCCGCCUGCGUGAAGUUGGAAUUGCUAGUAAUCGCGGAUCAGCAUGCCGCGGUGAAUACGUUCCCGGGCCUU